RNAcentral lists this ribosomal RNA (432 nucleotides) under uncultured bacterium. RNAcentral describes it as "bacterial SSU rRNA". It matches the Rfam family "Bacterial small subunit ribosomal RNA", at positions 29 to 507 of the family's 1533-position model. The record is from RNAcentral.
AACGAACGCUGGCGGCAUGCCUAACACAUGCAAGUCGAACGAUGCCUUCGGGCAUAGUGGCGCACGGGUGCGUAACGCGUGGGAAUCUGCCCUUGGGUUCGGAAUAACUCAGAGAAAUUUGAGCUAAUACCGGAUGAUGACGUAAGUCCAAAGAUUUAUCGCCCAAGGAUGAGCCCGCGUAAGAUUAGCUAGUUGGUGGGUAAAGGCCUACCAAGGCGACGAUCUUUAGCUGGUCUGAGAGGAUGAUCAGCCACACUGGGACUGAGACACGGCCCAGACUCCUACGGGAGGCAGCAGUGGGGAAUAUUGGACAAUGGGCGAAAGCCUGAUCCAGCAAUGCCGCGUGAGUGAUGAAGGCCUUAGGGUUGUAAAGCUCUUUUACCAGGGAUGAUAAUGACAGUACCUGGAGAAUAAGCUCCGGCUAACUCCGUG